This 207-nucleotide non-coding RNA is filed under the name Enterocloster asparagiformis. RNAcentral's name for it is "Clostridium asparagiforme T-box sequence". It matches the Rfam family "T-box leader". From Rfam's summary of the family: Uncharged tRNA acts as the effector for transcription antitermination of genes in the T-box leader family. T-boxes are found upstream of many aminoacyl-tRNA synthetase genes and some amino acid biosynthetic genes usually in Gram-positive bacteria. The anticodon of a specific tRNA base pairs to a specifier sequence within the T-box motif, and the NCCA acceptor tail of the tRNA base pairs to a conserved bulge in the T-box antiterminator hairpin. The record is from RNAcentral. Lineage: Bacteria; Bacillati; Bacillota; Clostridia; Lachnospirales; Lachnospiraceae.
UGACAGGCUGUGAAAGGGAAUAGUAAGCAGGGCGCGCGUUACAGAGAGGGGAUCAAUGGUGGGAGAUCUCUACGAAAGCGGAGGCUGAACCGGCCCGGGAGCUUUGUAUGAUGAAUGCAACGUAGAUCCGGCGUUAACGGAUGAAAAGCGGGUUCCCGGCUGCGGGAGCCAAUUUGGGUGGUACCGCCGAGCCAUUCGGUCCCAUGU